Molecule: long non-coding RNA, 514 nt
Filed under: Homo sapiens (human)
Lineage: Eukaryota; Metazoa; Chordata; Mammalia; Primates; Hominidae
Description: LHRI_LNC1870.1
Source: RNAcentral
UGGGGUGUGGGGUGUUGUUUGUUUUUUGUUUGUUUUUGAGACAGUGUCACUCUGUUGCCCAGGCUGGAGUGCAGUGGCAUGAUCACUGCUCACUGUACCCUCAACCUCCCAGCCUUAAGCAAUCCUCCCACCUCAGCCUUCCAAGUAGCUGGGACUACAGGUACAUAUCACCACACCUGGCUAAUUUUUUGUUUAUUUUUUGUAAAGACAGUGGUCUGUCUGUGUUGCCAGGGCUGGUCUCAAACUCCUGGGCUCCAAUGAUCCUCCUGCCUCAGCCUCCCAAAGGGCUGGGGUUACAGGUGUGAGCAGUUCAGGGACUAAGAACACAGUCUUUGAAAUCAGACAGCUCCAACACUAUUAGCCCUGUGACUUUAUGCUAACUCAUUCACUUCUAUGGCCUUUAAUGUUCUUAUUUGUGAAAUGGGGAUUCUAAUAGUAUUUAACUCAUAAGGUGGUUGUGAUAAUUAAAUGAAAUAAUGCAUGUAAAGCACUUAACAUGGUGGCUAGAUUAAGG